This 329-nucleotide long non-coding RNA is filed under the name Salmo salar (Atlantic salmon). RNAcentral describes it as "lncRNA (ENSSSAG00000084333.1, ENSSSAG00000112308.1)". The record is from RNAcentral. Lineage: Eukaryota; Metazoa; Chordata; Actinopteri; Salmoniformes; Salmonidae.
CUCACUGUAACCCCCCUCCAGGUCUGUUCUCCUACUAAUCUCACUGUAACCCCCCUCCAGGUCUCUGUUCUCCUACUAAUCUCACUGUAACCCCCCUCCAGGUCUCUGUUCUCCUACUAAUCUCACUGUAACCCCCCUCCAGGUCUCUGUUCUCCUACUAAUCUCACUGUAACCCCCCUCCAGGUCUCUGUUCUCCUACUAAUCUCACUGUAACCCCCCUCCAGGUCUCUGUUCUCCUACUAAUCUCACUGUAACCCCCCUCCAGGUCUCUGUUCUCCUACUAAUCUCACUGUAACCCCCCUCCAGGUCUGUUCUCCUACUAAUCUCAC